This is a long non-coding RNA of Tyto alba (common barn owl), 4593 nucleotides long. RefSeq lists it as uncharacterized. The transcript is spliced from 3 exons. NCBI's taxonomy places the organism in Eukaryota, Metazoa, Chordata, Aves, Strigiformes, Tytonidae. The record is from RefSeq and is a predicted model, not a curated record.
CCAAGGCCCCCUCUGCCUGCCCGCCGUGGGCUGGCGUCAGGGAGGAGGGGCUGCCCACGCGUGCCUCCGCUCACGGACGCGGCGGCAGCCGCUCUGAGGCCCGGCUUCCCCCUCAGAUCUGGGGCAGCGAGUGCCUCAGGGACGGGGCUCGCCCCGGCAGCCGCACAGCCCCGGGCCGGAGCAAGGGCGAGGCCUCCUGAGGCGAAGCGCUUCAGUGACACGAGGUGACAGCUACAUUGAGGGUGAAAAGCAACGCUGAGGUGUGAGACACCUUCCGCAGCAUCAUGGAUGUCUGUCAGACUGGGUGCUGCAGGUCCUCCUCUGCUCUCGGUACCCGAACGAGCCGAGUCAGCGCUAGCUCAGCACACCACCUGAGCUGCAGCACAGGCCACUAUUCCUUCUUCUAAUCUUUGCCUCCUACAAACUGAAGUAAUAACUCGAAGGAGAGAGAAGGGGAAGAAACGAGUUCAUUCUUCUGCUAUCUUCAGGGUCUCUUUAAUUAUAACUAAUAUUCUUCUUAUACCUUACUGUCCCAGUUUAACUUCAUGAACGAUUUGGCUGCACCCAGUGCUCUAAAAAGCAUUGAGUGGAUGGAUUCUGGAAACCAAAGAGCAUUUUCUAAGUAUGCUGCAUGUAAAAGGAGUAGGAGUGAUUCCUAUCACUUCCUCUUACUGCCUUUUCCAGUUUUCCUUAUCAACCAGGGGACCCAUCUUUCAGCAGGCUAAUUCACAUCCACGUAGUUGGUGGUUUCUUUGUCAACCACCUCUUUUGCUUUUCCUUCUGUGACUGCUUUUCUACAUGGACAGAAGCUGAGAAUACACAGCCUUUUACUGAGAGAAGAUCCACCAUUCAUCAUCAGAUGACAGGCACUUUUACUUCCUGAAAGAUGAAAUCUGGUCCAGCAGAGUACUAAAUAUUUGUAAGUGACCCUGUGCUGAGAGGCAUCGCACCAGCAGCAGCUAGGAGCCCUCCAGAUGUGUUUAUAUGGAAAAGCCAUGCUCCCUCGGCUUUGCAUGUGGUAUCAGCAAGAGCUGCGUGUACAAGAGUGCAUUUGAAAAUGAAGACAAAUGUAGAGUAUUCUUACUACAAUCGGUAACUUGGGUAAUUCUCACUCCUUGCAAGAUUUUUUUUGGUGGUGGUUUUGCUUGUUUGGUAUCAUUUUUGCUUAGUGAGAGAGAAAAAAAAAGCCUGGGAGUUUUGCUCUGAAUGAAAGUAGGCUUGUGCCUCUUUUAGGUUAAUAGGAAGAUAGCUAUCAGGCCAUGUAGUACUGUUACAUUUACACUUAGUGAAAUAAUUAUUUAAAGAGAACUUGCACCUCACCCAUGUGCUUGGGAGCUAAAAUGUGUUUGGGAGCUAUGCUGUUAGCUGCUGGCUGAGUCUGCACUGCUGCUAGGAGAAGACAUGGGGCUAGGGGCCUCAGUCCCCUGGGCCUUCGCAGCAGGCUGGCUGUGUCUCCUGGGCCGUCACUUCAUGUGGGCUCACCUUUGGGCCUGGGGUGGUGAGCCUUUGGCCCAAGGAGAGCACUCUUAAUUUGUGGUGUUUGUUCAGUGUAUAUGAAAUAAUGUGGCCUCUAGGCUGCAGCCCCUCUGGUGCUAGUUCCACUGAACAGAAUGCUGCGGGCCCAGGGAUACGGCACAGGGGAAUAUUUGGAGGGCUUGAAAUUCAUGGGGAAGGGGAAGGGAGAUAGAUAAUACAAUGCAGGCUUCUCCGUACUGCCUUUGGCAGUGCUUUCUGGAGGAGACCUUUUUUGGGGAUGUACUUGGAGUGGUCCAGAACAGAGCCAGAGAAUAAGCUAUCAGUGUGAACUGAUCAGGGAUUUCAGGUAUUUAGUACUGUGGAGAUUUACAUUGUGAAAGCAUUUUAUAUUCAGAACUGGUACAUUUUGGAUAAAUACUUGCUUCUUCCUUGCCUGAUAUUAGUGCCUACUAGCUUUCAGAGUUAAAAGAAUGGCAGUCACAAUAAUAAUAAUAGUGAUACAACUAGUGGAACUUUUACCUUCAAGUGCAACUGUCUGCAGGUUCAUGUCACUGAGAAGUCUGUGAAUGUGAUGAGAAGGGAAGGCUACAUGAGACUGGGAGCUGUCAGACUCCAUACGUAUGGUUGGGGCACCUGGACUGCACAGGGUAAAUGGACUGUAGGGCCCAGUCGUGUAAAGGGACCAAAAUAGCAGAUAUGAGUGACCAAAUGGUAAAGCAAAUGUUCUUUAAGACAAUAUGGAAAAUCCCAGUAUAUAAGAAAGAAAAUGAGUCUGUUCAGCAACAUAUCUGGAUAAUAUAGCAGGGUUUAGAUCCACCCAACAAUUUGGUGCAAAUAUGAAAUGAAAGUAAAAAUAUAUUGCUUUGAUUUCUCUUAAUCUUUUUCAUGAAAUUAAUAAAAUUACAAGCAAGAGUGCAUGGACAAAUAUAUUGACCAUAAGCUCUGUGCCAGAUGAUGACUGUGUUAAUGAAAGUUAGGAUCUCUCCAAACACUAUAAAACUAGAAACAGAAAUCAGUAUCCCCAAAGAUUAAUAUGGUACUUUUCCUGCAGUGCUUGAAGAGGAGUAGGGCUUGUCUGUGCUUCAAGAAAUGUUUUAAAUGAUCAACGGAAAGACAGCAGAAGAUGCAUUAGGAUUACAGUAUUAACAGUUGAAAACUGUGUUCAGCUGGACCCAUAGUACCAACUUCAACAAACAUACUUGUGACAUGAAUGAGACUCUGCUGCUCAAGUCAGCCUGGGAAACAGUGUUGAAAUCACAGCUCAUCAAUUCCAAACAUCUUCCGAGAAAAUCCACAGAGACAAAACUUUCUAAAAGAAAGGAAAGAAAGAAAAUGAGUCAAUGCAAAGCUGCAUCUCAAGUGAGUUACAUAAAAAAUGAAAAGUAAAUACUCAGAUAUGCAGAAACGAGAUGAAUUGAAACAAUCAUGAAAGCAUUAGGACAAGAUAUUGUAGUCUCAGGAAUGAAAUAAAAAUUUGAUAAUAAAAUUAAGUAGAUACAUUAUCCACAUAAACACUUUGGGAGUUUAAACUUAUCCCUUUAUAUGACAUCUGAUGGUGCUUUGGAUGGUAUUGAAUUGUGGUUCAUGUAUUCAGAGAUCUUUUUACACCAUCAAAGGCAUCCUCAUGAGCUAAAUAAGCUCUUGAUGAGUCAAAACUAACACAAAAUAGUUGCUUAACAAAUCAAGUUAGUCAUCUCGAGGGUUGCUGUAACUUGUAUUUUUUCUGUGAGUCAUUUUAAAAGACACUUUGACUUCAACAAACCUUUCUGGGGCCCCUUCUCUUCAAGGCACAAAAGCUGGCAUGGACAAUCCUUCUGUCAAGAAUCAGUGACUAAAAAUAUUUUUCUCAAAUUGAUAAGCUAAAGCCUGACACUUUGCUUUAUGCUUUUAUUUCCUGCCUCUUUAAAACUUGGUUACUCUAUGAAAUUCAUAGAAGAGAAAAAAAUAAUAGACCACGGGACCUUCACUGGUCUUCUACACAUUUCUUAUUAUACCCAGCAUUUGCCUUCAUAGAUGUCAAAUUACUUAUUUUGAUCACUACCUCUGUAAAUGCAAAAAACUGAGUAACGAAAGCUAUAUCUUAGACAGCAUCUCUUCAGUCACUGUAAUUUGUAUUGCUCAUCAUAACAUCGUGGAAUUUCUUGCAGCCUCCUUCCCACUGAGAGACAUACAUGAAGACGGUUUCACAUUUGAAGCCAGGACCAUGACAAACAGGGACUAGUGAAUCCAAUGUUGUUAUAACAUACCCAACUAGGUGAACUUUAAAUGAAAAAUUCUAUUUAAAUUACUGCCAAUUCUCCAGUCCAUUUUAAAUUAAUUUGACCUCUCUGAUUACUAGCUCAAACAAUAGUCUGAACUAUAUUUCCAUGGUAGAUUGCCACCUUCUGGUUAUAAAGGUAUCAGAUCAUAUUAAUCUUCUGUUUCAGCCCUCCCCAUCAAGCCCUGGGAUGAAGAAAGGCAGAUGAGCAUUUUGCAGAGUUCUGCUCUCAGCCUCUGUUGAGAUAAAUUAGAUGUUCCUUUUUAACCGAACUUGCUCUGAGUUUGGGUCACUUGUGAUCAGGCUGUCACAGCCACCUGCCUGACAGCAUCACCAUCCUGCUGGCACUGCCACUGGGUCUUGGCAGAGUGUGAGCAGCUUGUCCAUGUCUCCAGGGUCCAAAUUCCAGCCACAACCUGCCCCUUUCUAGGUGGAUCCAGAGUCUGUUCAGGAGAUAACGGGACGGGAAAACAGAAACAAUGACUCUGCUGGAGCUCACUGGGAGCAGUCAGGAGAGAGUAAGAGGUGGGUAAGAGCAAAUUGUGAAAAUUUUGAUUGAUUAGAGGAAGAAAGAAAAGACAACAAAGUUACCUUAAAAGCGGGUUAGUCAGCCUUGAACUACCUGCUGUCUUUGUGUCCAUUGACAAACAGUCCAUUUUCAUGGAACUGCUCGAAUCAACACCUAAGACAACAGCCACUGUAUUCCAGAAGGACCGGAUAUGUAAGAAUUACAUCAGAAUUGUAGGACUAUAAUGUGCCAACACUACCUGAAGACUUUCUUUAUUUAGCUGAGGAGCUAAAUUAACUCUUACACAACUUAUUUAAUCUUGGAACAUAAUGUCCUGAGAGAACGUUCACAA